UUGAGGGUAGCUUAAUAGAAAGUUUGGGAUUCUUACUCCUAGGAUGUCAUUAGUUGACCCCUUAAG
This 66-nucleotide transfer RNA is filed under the name Holostephanus sp. FJ-2023. RNAcentral's name for it is "tRNA-Lys". The record is from RNAcentral. Lineage: Eukaryota; Metazoa; Platyhelminthes; Trematoda; Diplostomida; Cyathocotylidae.